AAGUGUUACAAAAUCCAGGGGAUGCUGACACAAAGGCCCUCUUUAGUCCAGGGGUAGCCGUUUUUUCCUUGUGAACUGAAGUUUCUGAAUUCAGCAGUUGCAGCCAUUGUCAAACAGAAAAGAAGAUUUUUACAAAAAGGCAAAUACAGAUAAAAUAGAUGUUCGAAAACUUGUUGACGUCAGCAAAAAUAAUUGUCCACAGUCAUCAUUUGAGACAUGAUUUGUGAUUGCCAUGUCACAAGCAUCUUUAUAACUUGUAAGGGAAGUUAUGGGAAAUGGAUUUUUGUCUACCCCUUUACCGCAGGGACUCUACUCCCCGCGCUUACACUGGGCUUGGAUAGGGAAAAACAUUAUGUUACAUACGGAAAUUGGGGACUACUUUGCUGAAACUGAGACAAUAAAACAGAAAAAAUGCACACAUAAAAAGAAACUGGCUAUUGUACUAUUUUUUACUUCCUUCGUGAAAACUGGAGAAAAAAUUUUAUAGUUUUUUUUUAUUUUUUUCAGAAAAUAGUGUUAUAUUUUAUGCCAUUUGAUACAAUAAAACAUUAAUUUGAAACCGUUUGAUUUUGAAUUUUAUAGUAUUUUACGAACUUUGUGAAUUGGAAAUCCCGUAUGGCUGAUAGGUCACAACAUAUUAACAAUUCAUUAAUUACAAAAAAUGACUAAAAUAUGCAGCCGGUUUUAUUAUUUAAGAACUACAAUCGAUUACACAUAUUUAAGAGUUCUAAUUACUCACACAUAUUUGAACUCACAUUUCCAAUCACAAUCAUUAUUAAACACCAAU
Long non-coding RNA from Hydractinia symbiolongicarpus, 787 nucleotides. RefSeq lists it as uncharacterized. NCBI's taxonomy places the organism in Eukaryota, Metazoa, Cnidaria, Hydrozoa, Anthoathecata, Hydractiniidae. The transcript has 2 exons. The record is from RefSeq and is a predicted model, not a curated record.